GGCUGUGAAGGCGAUCUGGCUGGGACAUCUACCACCCCAUUGAUGGCAUGGGUUGAUAGGGUUGAUCUGGCUGGCUAGGCAGGUGUCUCCUCCCUCACCACUCCAAGGGAGUCCCUCCCAAAGCUGCGCUCAGGGUCAAAGAGGACUAUUUGCCCACUUGAGGAGGACUCUUCUUCCUUCAAGGGUAUGUGAGUAGCUAUGCUCCCUGGCUAGAACCUCCAAACAACCUCUCAGAAGGGGGCCAAUUAAGCACCUUGUUUUAUUCUUUUGUUGAUGGGACAGUUCCAACAUGAUGUCAUCA
This 301-nucleotide small nuclear RNA is filed under the name Dasypus novemcinctus (nine-banded armadillo). RNAcentral describes it as "7SK RNA (ENSDNOG00000048321.1)". It matches the Rfam family "7SK RNA". From Rfam's summary of the family: 7SK was discovered as an abundant small nuclear RNA in the mid-70s but a possible function has only recently been suggested. Two independent studies have found that 7SK RNA binds the CDK9/cyclin T complex (known as elongation factor P-TEFb). The record is from RNAcentral. Lineage: Eukaryota; Metazoa; Chordata; Mammalia; Cingulata; Dasypodidae.